RNAcentral lists this ribosomal RNA (3058 nucleotides) under Pinus taeda (loblolly pine). RNAcentral's name for it is "bacterial LSU rRNA". The stretch from base 927 to 3058 matches the Rfam family "Bacterial large subunit ribosomal RNA". Lineage: Eukaryota; Viridiplantae; Streptophyta; Pinopsida; Pinales; Pinaceae. The record is from RNAcentral.
UGUCUCCUGUUUAAGGGACACUUGUUGGGACCUGAUCUCCUCCUGUUUGCUUUUAAGAUCUCUGAUCUCUGCCUGUAGGGUCUCGUCGGAUUGUUGUCCUGCAUUUUGUUCCCGAUAUUCCUGCAAUGUUUUUUUGAUAAAUGCAUUGUCCUCCUCUAUCAAUAGGAGUUUAUCUGAUAAAAUGUUGAUGUCGGCUCGCAGUUCGCGAUUCUCCGCCUCCAGAUGUUCCAUUUUCCUCAUGAUUUGCUUAAAUUGGGAUGUCCAAAAAGCGAAAUUUGUCUCUAAUGCAAUAUCAGUGGGGCUGUAAACAUUCUCCUCUUUGUUGUUGCACUGUUGUAAGUAUUUCAGUGGGCCUCUGUUGUUAAAAUCUGGCGUUUCAGUUUCCCCGGGGUCCCUGAUCUGUUGUUGUUUUGUCAUGUUGGAAGUCUCACCCUGCUAUCCAUAGUACAGGCCAAGGGUAACAAAAUGGUGGACUACAGGAGGCAGAUGGGAGGGGAUGGCUACGGGUUGCAGUGGCACGGGUUACAGCCGCUGCAGUUUGAGCAGACGCAGACGGUUGCGGGCGGGGAGAGCCGAUGGGAUUGCGGGUAGGAGCAAACGGCUGCGGGCGGUUACAGCAAGCGGCUGUGGGCGGGGAGCGGAUGGUUGCGGGCAAGAGCGGACGACUGCGGGCAGGAUCAGACGACUGCGGAAGGGGAGAGCCGACGAGACAGCUGCAGGCGGGGAGAGCCAACGGGAUUGCGGGCGGGGCGGGGACAGGAGCAGAUCGUUGCGGGCAGGCUGAGGCGGGCGCAGAUGGCUGCAGGCGAACAGCAGGCGGUUGCGGGCAGGGAGAGUCGAUGGCACGGCAACGGGGAGAGCCGACAGCACGACAACAACAACAGACAGCUGCGGGCGAGGAGGGAGAGCCGACGGCACGGCAGCGGGGAGAAAAUAAAAAGGAAAUAAAACUAAGACAACAAGAAAAAAAAAAUCGAGGCAAACUCUAAAUGCUAGAUUAGCCCAAUAAAAGGGGGUAAGGGUCAACCAUGAGGACGAUGGGGGAUAAGCUUCAUCGUUGAGAGGGGAACAGCCCAAAUCACCAGCUAAGGCCCCUAAAUGACUGCUCAAUGAUGAAGUACAAAGUGCAAAGAUAGCCAAGAGGUUUGCCUAGAAGCAGCCAACCUUGAAAGAGUGCAUAAUAGCUCACUGAUCGAGUGCUCAUGCACCAAAGAUGAAUGGAACUAAGUGAUCUACCGAAGCUAUAGGAUGUCAAAAUACAUCAGUAGGGGAGCGUUCCACCUCAGAGGGAAGCACCGGCGUGAGCAGGUGUGGACGAAGCAGAAGAAAGAAUGUCAGCUUCAGUAAUGCAAACAUUGGUUAGAAUCUAAUGCCUCGAAAACCUAAGGUUUCCUCCAUAAGGUUCGUCCAUGGAGGGUGAGUCAAGGCCUAAGAUCAGGCCAAAAGGCAUAGUUGAUGGACAAGAGGUGAAUAUUCCUGUACUACCCCUUGUUGGUCCUGAGGGACAAAGGAGGCUAGGUUAGUUGAAAGAUGGUUAUUGAUUCAAGGAUGCAAGGUUACCCUUUUCAGUGUAAGAAGGGUAGAGAAAAUGCCUCAAGCCAAUGUCUGAGUACUAAGUGCUACAGUGAUGAAGUAACCCAUGCCAUAGUCUCAAGAAAAGCUCAAACAACCUUCAACAGAUCGGUACCUAUACCCAAAACCAACACAGGUAGGUGGUAGAGAAUACCUAGGGGCACGAGACAACUCUCUCUAAGGAACUUGGAAAAAUAGCCCCGUAACGUCGGGAGAAGGGGUGCCUCCUUAGGAGGUCACAGUGACUAGGCCCAAGUGACUAUUUACCAAAAAUACAGGUCUCUGCAAAGUCACAAGACCAUGUAAGGGGGCUGACGCCUGCCCAGUGUCGGAAGGUUAAGGAAGUUCAUGACCUAAUGACGGGGAAGCCAACAACCGAAGCCCCAGUGAAUGGUGGUCAUAACUACAAUGGUCCUAAGGUAGUGAAAUUCCUUUUCAAGUAAGUUCUGAUUUGAAUAAAAGGCAUAACGAUCUCGGCACUGUCUCGGAGAGAGACUCAGUGAAAUAGACAUGUCUCUGAAGAUGCGGACUACGUGCACGUGGACAAAAAGACCCUAUGAAGCUUUACUAUUCCCUGGGAUUGCCUUUGGGUUUUUCUUGCACAACUUAGGUGGAGGGCGAAGAAAGUCCCCUUCUGGGGGGCCUGAGCCCCCAGUGAGAUACCACUCUCAAAGAGCUAGAAUUCUAACCUUGCAUCAGGACCUACGGGCCAAGGGAAGUCCUCAGGUAGACAGUUAUCUAUGGGCGUAAGGCCUCCAAAAGGUAACGGAAGGCGUGCAAGGUUUCCCUCAGGCCGGACGGAAAUCGGCCCUCGAGUGCAAAGGCAGAAGGAAGCUUGACUACAAGACCCACCCAUCGAGCAAGGACGAAAGUCAGCGUUAGUGAUAUGACGGUGCCAAGUGGAAGGGUCAUCGCUCAAUGGAUAAAAGUUAGUCUAGGGAUAACAAACUGAUCUUCCACAAGAGUUCACAUCGACGGGAAGUUUUAGCACCUCGAUGUCAGCUCUUCGCCACUUGGGGUGGUAGUACUUUCCAAGGGUUGGGUUGUUCACCCAUUAAAGUGGUACGUGAGCUAGGUUUAGAACUUCGUAAGACAGUUUGGUCCAUAUCCGGUGCCAGCAUUAGAGCAUUGAGAGGACCUUUCCCUAGUACAAGGACCGGGAGAGACACACCUCUGGUGUACCAGUUAUCAUGCUGACGGUAGAUGCUGGGUAGCCAAGUGUGGAGCAGAUAACUACUGAAAGAAUAUAAGUAGAAAUCCCCAAGAUGAGUGCUCUCAUAUUCCUACUUCCCAGAGAGACCCUAGUCGCGAACAGGGCUGGGACAACAACGGGUUCUCUGUCCUUUCAUGGGAUGGAGCGACCAAAGUAUUGAUAAUCCAAGAUAAGGUCAUGGCUAGAUGAGCCAUUUAUAAUUAUGAUAGGUGUCAAGUGGAAGAGUAGUGAUGUAUGGAGCUCAGGCAUCCUUAUAGACCGAGAGAUUUCAAC